Molecule: long non-coding RNA, 17982 nt
Filed under: Oryza sativa (Asian cultivated rice)
Lineage: Eukaryota; Viridiplantae; Streptophyta; Magnoliopsida; Poales; Poaceae
Description: long non-coding RNA (OSAT_LNC001305)
Source: RNAcentral
CUCCUCCUCCUCCUCCUGGGACAAGUAUGGACUGGCAAGGCGCACCGCCAAGUCAUGGCUCUUAUAUUGUCAAGAAGAUUGUACGCAUGGAGGUUCCAGUUGAUGCUUACCCUAAUGUAUGUGUUCCUCUUAUGCGAUUUAUCAUCCAGCAGAUAAAAUGUCUUGUUUUUAAUGUCUGCUAUUUUCGCUUUGCUCCAGUUCAAUUUCGUGGGACGUAUUCUAGGACCGAGGGGUAAUUCUCUAAAGCGGGUUGAAGCAUCAACUGGUUGUCGUGUUUUCAUUAGAGGGAAGGGUUCUAUCAAAGAUGCUGAUAAGGUAACAAACGUUUGUAAAUGUUAAUUACUUUACAUUUAUAUACUCAUAUAACAUGCGUUAUAUAAAUUAAAACUAAGUAUUACAGCUAGCUAGGAUGAUAAACUUCUUUGUUAUGUUUAAUUUAAUAUCCUUUGUAGAAAUCUUGGAAAUCCUUCAUUGUACUCUUCCCUGAUUAGUAAAUCCUAACUAUCCAUUAUUGGUGUGACCAUUUCUGCCAUGGUCUAUAGUAUUUCUGAAUUCUGGUCUUCAAACUUCGUCCUAAAUUGAUCUGAAACACGAAGAAACAUGGGAAACACACAAAAAGAACUGUUUAAAAAAUUGUUUUUAUGGAGUAUUGUGUGCCUCAAGGCAGAUUUUAUAUUGCCUGCUCAUCAGUUUGCUUACCAUAUAAACCUUGUAACAAUAAUAAGUUAGUAACAUUGAGUAACGUAUUUGCUUACAUGUAUUGGACAAAUGUAUUGUUCUAGUAUUUCAAUUUUCUAUUUAUUUUUUGGGUUCAUGAUAUAUGGUGGUGAGUUUUAUUGCAUCUUUGUAGAACAUAUGUUAGUAUUUUGUACUACUAUAUUCCCAUAUGGGUUUCUAUCUUGUCUUCUGGGAAUCUGUCUUGCCCCUUAAACCCAUUAACAUGUUACAUCAAUAAUGUGAUAGUACUCUGUCUCAUAUAUUAAUCUUGAUUGCUGAAAGAUUCCAGAUUGCUCCUUGUCCAUAUUUUUUCCCCUCAUAUAUCCUCCAAAUAUACACAGUUACACAUCUUUGUUUUCUAUUUUAUAGGAGGAGAAGCUGAAAGGAAAACCUGGCUAUGAGCACCUCAAUGAUCCACUGCAUAUCUUGAUUGAAGCUGAGUUGCCAGCCAAUAUCAUUGAUACAAGAUUGAGGCAGGCACAAGAAAUAAUGGAUGAACUGCUAAAACCAGUGGUAUUAAUUUAUAUGACUUUAUGUAUUAAUUUAUUCUGAAAUUUGGAUAAUACCACUUCACAAUUUAGAAUUUAGAAAUGUGCUACCAUAAAGUCUACCAUACAGGCUAAUGGCACAAACUUUUCACCGGUUAUGUUUUUUUAUCUUUUUUUUUUUUGCAUGACUGAACUGAAAAGGAAUUUUACAUCUCCAUGCUUAUUGGAGUAGUUACAGCUAUUUGCAUCUCUGUGGUUUUGUUGACAUAAAAUUUAGAGGUACCACCCCAUACAAGUCAUGGUAACUUCACCUCUCCCUCUCAUUCGCAGCCCAGUGGCAGCACUUUUCAUUGGUCCUGAUGUCCUCAUUGUUGCAACUGGUUAGUGUGGUAUGGGUGCAGAUCUAGGCUGGAGACAGUCCUCAGCGCUAGUCGCUAGGACAGGAAUAGUUUCCUUUCUCUGAUUGUGGUUCUGCAUGUGACCCUGUGGGCAUCAAGAGGGCCAUAUAUAAUGAAAUAAAACUGAUAUCCAGUAAUAUUAAUUGGAGUUAAUGACCCUUAAGAUAUUCAAUGAUGAUCUAAAUUGUAAACUUAGUCUACUGCCAAUACUAUAUCUAGAGUGUUGCAGUACAAACUUAGUAAAUCUACCCUUUCAGGAAUAUAACAUUCACCAUAGUAACAAAACAGAUGCAACUUGAGGGCCAAAAGAGUACUAGUCAGACCUGCAGCUUUCCUCAGCUAAGGGCAUGUUUGGUUAUUUUCCUGGGAAAAUGAGCAGUGAUCUAUGCGGGAAAAUGUCUGUUUCCCCACAAAAAGAGAGAAAGAAAUAGGUCUUUGGUACUUGCCAAGAAAGCACAGAAAUGAAUCAUGUUGUAUCAAAUCAUAAAAUUAAAAUUAAGUACAAAACAAAGUUUCUUCCAUAAAUCCCAAGUCAUUACUUCCAUUCCAUGCUUCAUUGUUGUCCAUAAUGAAUAUUUUGUUGCUGCAAAUCAUUGUUAAGUGGAUGCGGUAUGUCUAUACAUCUGGCACUGUGGUACUCAUCGUCCCAAAUUGCAGUGGAUCUGCAAUGUUAAGUUUAUGAUGAAGGGCCCAAAGGUGAUGAGAAGGCAAGGGUUUAAGUUUUGGGUGCCAGCCCGAAUCCUGCUAACCUACAGACUUGGCUGCUUUCCGUUUCAUACCCCUGGACCAUUUUUUUGUUUGUGUUUCGAAGCUUAUGCAUAUGAUGCCACAGAACUAGCCUUUCUCAUGUUGUCUCACAUUGUAGCUUUGCUAUUUAUUUGAGAUAUUUUCCAACAGCUCUUCUUGAGUAGUAAUUUAUUUUUAUUUCAUAUACAAUGUUUCUUCUCCCCCUCACUUAUUCUUUCCCUAAGUUGUCAUUCUAUGAUAGUUAUUCCUGCAGUGUUUUUCUGUGAACCAUGUUCUGUAGGUUGCUUACAGCUAUGACCGCCGUUCAUAGCUGACCUCUUUUGUUCGUCUUUGCAGGAUGAGUCGCAAGAUUACUAUAAAAGACAACAGCUGAGGGAACUGGCAAUGCUGAACUCUACUCUGAGAGAGGACAGUCCUCAUCCAGGAAGCGUCUCCCCUUUCAGCAAUGGUGGCAUGAAACGUGCAAAACCGAGCCAUUAGCAAAUAUGGUUCGACCUCACCGCUUUCAUCAAGGUCAAGGAGCUCCUACACGGCUAUGCCCCUAGGCAUGCCGUCGAGCUUGAGUGGUUCGUUGUAUGGGCUAUUGUGUAAAAAACAGUAUGCCUUUUACUGGAUGAUUAGUCUGGUACCAAAUGGUUCUCUCCUCUGGAUGAGGAGAUCGAUGGUUAAAGCUGCCUCAAAUCUUUUGGCCGGUCCAGAUGUGUUGUUGUAACUUGUAAGGUUCACAUUCAUUUUGUUCUUUAUCGACUGUUAACCCUGCUAGCUUGUGAUGCUAAGAUAGGUGGUUUUCCCUUUUUUCAGGAGAGAUUAGAGAAGUCUUGGUAAUGUAAGAUUUCAGUUUAGAAGUUGAGUUAGAUUGCAUCAUAUUUGCCUGAACAUCAUGGAGUUGCAAAAUGCAGAUCAUGACCGUGUUAUGCAAUAGUUUGAUGGGAAAAAUCUUUGAAUUAACCAUGUGGAUUCAGGGCUCUCUGUAUUGCAGUGUGGUGGAUGGUUCGAAAGUUUUAUGUUUGCUUUACAAGUUACAGAGCUAUUUUAUGAAUCUUUCUGUGAUUUUAUUGUUAGAUUUACGGUAGUGUGUCUUCUAGUGUUUGACAUACCAAGAAGCACCAUAGCUUAACACAAAUAAGUGUGGCAUCUCUUGGUAUCUUCCUUUAAGGACCAUAAAAUACCUCAUAAGGCUAAUGUUAAUUUCUACAUUUUUUAAAUUCUGAAGUGUAUUGUGUUCGCCAUGAGCAAGUAAAGUUGCCUCUCAACAGGCAGCCAUUUUCUUGAAGCAAAAUAGAAAACCAUCUAGUCAAAAGGCAAUAACAGCUUUAGCAAUUCAAGAUAUAAUUUAGACAUACAUAUUUGACUUGUCUUUUUUUUUGCGGGGAACAUAUUUGACUUGUCUCAAGCUGUAUAUUUCUUUGUUGAGUCCUAAAAAAAUUAAAAAUAGCUUUGGAUUAUAAUUAUUUGAGAACACAAAUAAAUAUUUAAAUAUCAGAAAGUUGAUAAGUUGAUUUUUUUUAAAAAAAGUAUAUAUAUACAUAUACAUGUAUAUACAUAUACCUGUAAAUACAUAUACAUGUAUAUAAGAAAUGUUGAUGAAGAAAGUUCAUUUUUUUAAAAAAAAUAUAUAUUACUCCCUCCAUUCCAAAAUAUAAGGCACAACCACUCUUAAUCCAAAGACUAAGAAAUAAUUAUUAUCAUCUUGUAGUUUGGAUCAUCCUAAUAAAUAUAAUGCAUGUAUCCAAUAGAAUUAGAUAACAUGAGAGUGGAGGAUUUAAAAAAGUAAUAAUUUAAUGGAGAAGAUGCUAUAGUUAAUUGCAUGCUUGCAUGCAUGCCUUUUAUUAUGUAACAUCUAAGAAAAGUGGUUGUGUCUUAUAUUAUGGAACGGAGGGAGUAUCGUUAGAAGCUUGAGAAGUGUGCCUAUAAUCCAUAAGCUACUUAAAGAGCUUGAAAAACACAUAUCACUAAUUAUACACUCACCAAUUAAUCUUAUGGAUGUAAGCAAACGGCGUAGCCCAUAAAUCUACUAAAGAGCAUAUUCUGUCUCUAGAAAUACAGAUUCAGCUCCAAAUCUCCAAUGCAGGCAUCUGCUGGUCUUUCACCGUGGGACCACCAAAAUGUAGUAGUAUUCGAGAAGCUAGUAUAUGCAUUGAAAACCGUUGAGACAAACAAAACAACAGCAAUGUCAAUAUUAUGUAUUGAAAUUUUGAGUAUCAAUAUCUUAAUUCACAUUGGAUGUAUUAAAAAUACACCUUCAACGACAUCCAUGUAAAGAAUGCUUUCAUGGCAUUAAAAUUUGUUGGAAUGUGCAAACAAACCACCACAUAGGUAUUAGAAGUCCAAAUGGCAUUACAAACGCAUCGAAUGAACAUUCUCAUCGUUUUGAAUUACUGCUUGUUAUUUGUCGUUUUAGAUUUAUCCUAUGUCAAACAUCUAUCUCUGACCAUAAAUUAUUUUCUAAAUAAUGGAAUAUAAUUUCGGUCUUUGCUCUAAGAGCUACAGCUUAUUAUUAAAAAAUCAGUUCAUUGAUAAGCACACACAACAAACAAUUUCAUAAUGGCACCUCCAAAAGAAAACAUGAAGUGAUGCACCCACUAAUAACCACCAACACUAGACAAAAGACUUCACAAUUAUUGCACCCUAUUUGUGAAUCUCCAUCCGAAGUUGAAAAAAAUCUGCAAACCAUUGCCCCUAGGUUGCAGCAUGCAGUGUGAAUAAGUUUGAUGUCCUCAUCACUCCAUUGUAGUUACGUCCAAAACCGAAUCUAGUGCGUUGCCUCCAAAAAGUACCUACAUAUAAGAUUUAAACAGUGAUUUGUCCUACAAGAAUGAAUUUAUUGGUCCUUUUAUCAAUACCCACAAGCCAGUUUCCAAAAAUAUGAGUUGGAGUAUAUUAUACGAGGAUAUAGACCAAAAGAAGUUUGUACUGAUCUCCAGAGAAAUCUAACAAAAAGACAAUUAAUAAAUAAAUAAUAGAUUGUUUCAUUUUUAUUAAAAAACAAUAUCUUAUACUACCAUUUUAAUUUGUCCUAGCCGGAAGGACAACUCUUGAAACGCUCAGUGACUUAAAACGAAUAAAAUGAUCGAAAUUGUAUCAAAGCUGUUGUAAUUAACAAAAUAAUUAAAAACAUGUGUUUCCUCGGAAUGCGUGAUGACAGCAGCAGCUAGUGUCACCAACGCAACAUGGGACCUAGCUAUACAGUGGUAGUAUAUAUAGCUAAAGCUUAAUUGAUGGCAGGUAGGCGAUGUCGGCCGUUAGCGUGUCAGCCUUGAUUGCGUACUUACGUGCUCUCCCUCUCAGCAGUUUGUAGGUGACGAAGAAGAAGAAGCCGAUCUCUCAACAAUUGAGCACACAAACGACACACAAAAGCCGCGGCUUGAGGUUGCUCCGUUUGAGCCACAGCCCCUUGUUCCCCUUUCUCCAAGUUGCUCUUUCCUUAUCCAUGUGUUUCUGUAAAAUGGUGCCUCUGAUAUUUUGGUAAGGUAUUGUCAGAGAUAGGCAGGCAUGUGAUGGUAUAGUAGAAGUAGAUUGGUAGCUGCUGGACCAGAAAAAAGAAACAUUAAUCUUUUAGACACUAUAUUAACAUACAUGCAGAAGUUAUGUCCUAUCUCCGUUCUAAAAUAAAUUCAUUAUUUUCACCUAUUCCACACAUACUAAUAAAAAAACUAGAAUUCCCCUACUUUAUCGAAUUUCAAUACAACUAUUCCUCACUUUAUCUACUCAUAAUAUAAUUAUUUCUUAUUUCACAAACUUCGAUGUAAUAGUUACUCUAAAAAUAAAAUUAUUUUCGGACAAGCAAAAUAAAUUUAUUAUGGGACGGAGAAAGUAGGUAGGAGUAAUUUUUAAUGGGUAAACAUAUAGGGCUUAUUGGGAUUGAAGGAUUUUUUAAGGAAAAGACAGGAUCCAAUCCAAAGGAAUGAGUCCUUAUGAUUGCAGGAUUGCUUCAAAUUAAGGCAAUUUAAAGGAUAGGAAAAAUUCCUCCACAAUGUUGAUGAAUUUUAGCAUUAGGUUCAACCUCAUUAUUUCAAAUUCCUUUGAUAUUUUAAGGCAUUUUCUCUCUCCAUUAUCUCUCUAGCAAAUCAACAUAUAAUCUUAAAAUUCUUUUGUUUUUUUCUAUGGUACACCAAAUACAUGUUUUGAAUAAAUUCUGUAGCUUUCUUUCUUGUAGGAUUUUACAUGGCAUGAUAUUUUUAAUUCUAUGUUUUCUCUAUUCCUAUACUUUAAGAAUCUUACGUUCUAGAGGAAUCAUAGUAAAAAAGUUGCAUUUAAGGUUUACCCGUAGUUGUAUUACAUAAUAUCGGUUUUCUCUAUUUGUACAAGUGACAUCUGAGUAUAGUUGAAUUUUCUUUGUAGAUGGACUAGUCUAAAAAAAUACUAGUAGGUCAAUACUUUUCUUACUCUUGAUUGAUAAAACGACAUCUAAUAUUUCAUUAUAUAUAUUUUUCAUUAUUAACGGUAACAAGCAAUGGACUUAUGGCUUUCGUUUCAUCUAUUCAUCAUCCUUGUCACCGUAGCUCCAGGCAACAUGUAGUAUAUAUAUGGACUUAUGGAUAUUUUUUGCAAAGUAAUACGCAUUAAGUAGGAGUAACUGAUAGUAUGAGCUAUGUGCAACUAUAUAUUAAUUGUUGUGUAUGGUUGAUAUCAUGGUGAUAUUAAUAAUCUCACAAAUUAAUGUGGUUAUAUCAAUCUUAUGUAUACUUAGUCUUGAGAACAACUAUCAUGUAAAUACGUUCUAAAAUAGACAUUACAAUAAGCGGCUAUUAUUGCUGAUGCAAUGUACUAUUCCUGCUAAUAAUUAUAUGGUGGAAUCGUGUUAUUUUUUUAACCAUGGCUUACAAUAUGGUGUUAAACACCGCACAAAACCAAUAAUAUUUAGAGUGGGUGAUUGAUGAGAAUGAUGGUUAUAUAACGUAUUAGUUCUUUCGAUAUAGUAGUAACAAGGAUACUAAGAGUUAUACCUCUUGUUUAAACAUGAAGGUACUUUCACCAAGACCAAUGAUGAAACAUCAAUAUCAACGACACAUAGAGAUUAGUUCCAGACACACCAAAAAGCCACAUACUGACUUUUAUUCUAUGAAAUUGGCACCUAUUUUAUCCACAAUACAAUCAGAAUUUUUUUUAUUUAUAAUUUUUCUUAUUAAAAGUUUUACAAAAAUAAUUUUCCAUUUUGAAAAUUGACGGAAAUAGUCGCCUACCGCCCUCUGGGAGGGCGAUUUUUAAAAAUCGCCCUCCCAGAGGGCGGCGAAAAUGACGUGGCAGACGGCCGUUCGCUCUCGGGCGACGGCCGUCAACGAAAUUUGCAGGCGGCCCCCUUGCCGCCCUCCGCGAGGGCGAUUUUGUACUGUGCGGGGGGCCGCCUGCAAAUGGGCGGCGAGGGGGGGCAUGGAAAUUUGCAGGCGGCCCCCUUGCCGCCCUCCGCGAGGGCGAUUUUGCACUGUGCGGGGGGCCGCCUGCAAAUGGGCGGCGAGGGGGCAUGGAAUUUUGCAGGCGGCCCCCUUGCCGCCCUGGGGGAGGGCGAUUUUUGCCUCCCCCUAUAAAGCCCAGCCCCUCCCCUAUGAAAUUUCAUUAUAUUCACUAAAAAUCCAAAAAAAACGAAAGAGAGAGAGAGGGGAGGGCAGCAGAAGGGGAGCGGCGAAGCCCUGCUGGUUCGCUCACUUCAUCACAGGUAUGCUCCCAUACAUCUUUUGCAUUUGUACUAAUAUAUUACGUUUGAGUACAUAUGUUGCGUUUUAGUUUUAGUUCCAUAUAUUUUAGCAGAUCUGUAGCACACAGCACAUAUGUGUAGAUCCAGAGCAUAGAAUAUAAUAGUAUGAAUUGAGACAUAGACAGUAGUGUUAAUUGUAAGAUGUAGUUUAGUUUGAUCUGGAGAAUGUAACCUACUUUUAGAAAUUUAGAGAACAAUAUUGUAGAGAAUGUAACUUAGGGCGUAGUACAGAAAUGCGAGGUUAACGCAGUUAUUGUUUUCAUCAGGCACAAUGUCAAGUAAGGUCACAUUUCAGAUAGUUCACGGUGAAGGAAAUAUUAGAUUUGGUCCAGAUGGUGUUGAUCUGUCAGAUUUUGUAAUGACAUCUAAGGGCAUCGAUAGGCCUGCGGAGAGAACAUUUCAGUCAAUUUAUAGUUGGUUGUUGAGAGGAUUUAGAAUAGACCAAGAAGUCUACACAAUGUCAGUAUCUGUUGUAGUGAGUCGUGCAAUAGAAGGUUAUUUUUGGGAACUAAUGCCGAUGGACAGCACUGCUGCUUGGAGACGGUAUGUGGAAAUGGCUUUUGAACGGUCAUGGCCCCUCGUUAUAUUUGUGUCGGUACAAGAGAAAGAUACAAAUGUUUCAAUGCAAACCGAAGAUGUGGAGGGUCCUAGCAAUGCAGGGGAUGUUGUUGGACCAUCGAUGCAAAAUGAGGAAAAUCAACCAAGGGAGGAGCAGGCCAUGGGCAUGGCGGAUGAGGGGGAGAGAGUCGGUAUAAUUGUUGAUGAAAUGGAGAGGGAAGAUUCGGAUAAUGAGCAAGCGGAGGACGACGCAUCAUCCGAUGAGGAAGGUGAUGUAAUGGCCACUGAUUGGGCAAAUGAGGACUUCUCUGGUCUUGUUAUAUCAGAGGGUGAUCAUGUACCCUGGGAGUAUAAGGAGUACGAGGUAAUUGAGGGUGCAAGGUAUGCUCAUAAGGAUGAGAUGAAGGAGGCGGUGAAGCAUUGGGCAGUUUCAUUGCAGAGAGAGUUUAGGGUGGUCAAGUCAACAAAUUAUGUGUAUGAAGUGAGGUGCAUGAAGGAAGAUUGUCCGUGGCGUGUCCAUGCAUAUAAGGGUAAAUGGAAUGAUUAUUGGAAAGUUAGCAUUGUGACCGAGCACAAGUGCUACUUACAAGGGGUGGAGAAGUAUCACCGAAACAUCACUUCAGCUUUUGUGGCAAGUGAGAUGUACAGCAGUGUUGUUGGUAACAUUGGCUUUGAACCAAAAUCAAUUAUUAGGCACAUCGAGAACAAAUUCAAGUACACCAUAAGCUAUGCAAAGGCCUGGAGAGCCAAACAAAAGAUCAUUGAGAUGAGGUAUGGCACAUUUGAAGCUUCUUAUGAUAAUUUGCCUCGUUUGUUAGCCACCAUUGCCCAGAGGAAUAAUAAUACUUACUAUGACCUACAUACAUUUACAUCGGUUGAAGAUAGAACAAAGAGUGUGCUGCAAAGAGCCUUUUUCUCAUUGGGUGCUUGCAUCAAUGCUUUUGUGCAUUGUCGACCUGUUCUAUGCAUAGAUGGAACUUUUAUGACAGGUAAAUACCGAGGUCAGAUAUUGACAGCAAUUGGGUGUGAUGGGAACAACCAGGUUCUACCUAUGGCUUUUGCAUUUGUAGAGAGUGAGAACACUGAAAGCUGGUACUGGUUCCUAGAGAGAGUGCACAUUGCAGUGGUGCGUAUGAGGCCCAACGUUUGCCUUAUACAUGAUCGUCAUGCGGGUAUGUUGCGGGCUAUUGACUACUUGCAGAACGGUUGGGAUGAGAAGGGACUUCCAGCUAAGUGGCCUGAUGUUCGGAGUCGGUGGUGCAUGCGUCACAUGGGUGCAAAUUUCUACAAGCAAUUCAAGAACAAGCAUCUUAUGGAGCUCUUUAAGAGGCUCUGUGCACAGAACCAAGAGAAGAAAUUUAAUGAGUUGUGGGACAAGUUGGAUGAGUUGACAACGAAGCAAACAGAUGAGCAAUCUCGCAGACCACAAGUUGAAGGUGACGAGCCUCCCAUACCUCUUGGUGCAUUACUUGAUGACCCACCAACAAUGAGAAGGAGGUCAGGGUCGGCCAUCAGAAAUUUCUCUCAGUGGAUUGAGAAUGAGCCUAAGGAGAAGUGGGCUCUAUUGUUCGACACCGAUGGAUCUCGGUAUGGCAUAAUGACAACCAAUUUGGCAGAGGUGUACAACUGGGUAAUGCGAGGAGUUCGGGUACUUCCAUUGGUUGCUAUUGUUGAAUUCAUCCUUCACGGCACGCAAGCCUACUUUAGGGAUCGAUACAAGAAAAUUGGUCCGUCCAUGGCCGAUAACAACAUAGUGUUUGGCAACGUAGUGACAAAGUACAUGGAAGAUAAAAUCAAAAAGGCACGGAGACAUAGAGUUGUUGCUCAAGGCACACAAGUGCAUCGGUAUGAAAUAAUGUGUGUUGAUAGGAGCAGGCGUGGUAUCUAUCGCAAGCAAGCCGUGCAGGAAUGUGUCUUGAAGGCGGAUGGUGGAUGUACCUGCAGUUGUAUGAAGCCGAAGCUUCAUCACCUUCCUUGCUCACACGUUCUUGCUGCUGCCGGUGAUUGUGGCAUAUCUCCCAAUGUGUACGUCUCAAAUUAUUUCAGGAAAGAAGCAAUCUUUCAUACAUGGAGUGAGGAGAUAUAUGGGUUCGGGAUCUCAGGAUCUUACACAACGCUGAGUGCCCAAGUUUUUUAUAUUCCAGAUCCAUCUAAGUUUAGGGUGAAAAAGGGUCGACGCCAAACUAGACGCAUCAGAAAUGAUAUGGAUGAGUCAGAAGCAGGUGGGAGGACUUUACGCUGCAGCAAGUGUGAUCUGCGCGGCCAUACUUACAAGACAUGCCCGAAGAAUGCAGAAGUUCCAAGCGGCGCAGAUGCUAGUCCAUCUGGACAGGCAAGUGAUGGUAGGCGACCACCUGGUGAAGGAACAACAAGCAGGCGCGCAAGGCCAAGGCGUCGUCGCGCAGCAGGCGAUUCCAUGGUGUAACAAUGCUUUCGAUUUAGGAAAUAAAAUGAUGUAAUGAGUGUUCGGACUAAAUACUUCUAUCGUGUAAUUUCAAUUCAAUCUUGUUGUAAUGAGUACCUCCGACUAUUGUUGUACUAGUAGUAUUGCGAACUAUUCGGUGUUGUAUCAUAAUGUUAUCGUGAUGAGUGUUCGGACUAAACACUUUUGUUUGUUUGUACUCUUGUUUAAUAUGUGUUAGUAAUUCGCUUAUGAACAUUUAUUACUUAUGUUGAACUAAUUAUUUAUAUGUUUCUGAUCAACCUAUUUGAUGCAGGUAUGGCGUACGACACACCGGCGCUGUUGAACCGUGGGAUUGACAGGAACCACCGCUCGUUCCUGUCAGCAGUCGAGGGUGCACAGCUCGGCACCUUCCGUCCACGCACGUCGCGCGAGUGGUUGCGUGUCGACCCCCGUCACGUUCCUUGGUACGCGUAUGUUCACAUUUCAACUCAACUUUGCUUUGUUUUAUACUUAUGUUUGAAGUUUGCUCUAUACAGGUUGCGUGCGGCAGGCCUUCUACCACUUUGUAGGCUUGUUGAGGCGGCGGCGGACGACCGUGACCCAGCGAAGCGGUGGGAUGCAGACCGGUCACUCCUUGCCGCUCUUGUAGACCGCUGGAGACCUGAGACGCACACGUUCCACCUUCCCUGUGGGGAGAUGGCUCCGACACUGCAGGACGUGUCGUACCUGCUCGGGCUACCGCUGGCGGGAGCACCAGUUGGUCCCGUCGACGGUGUUUUUGGGUGGAAGGAGGAUAUCACUGCGCGCUUCGAGCAGGUGAUGCGCCUUCCACACCUAGGACCGACCACCACCCUUCCUCCGUACUCUACAGUCGGGCCUAGCAAGGCUUGGUUGCUCCAGUUCACUGUAAGUAAAUAAGUUGUUAUUAUCAUACGUGCUUAUUUGCGACCGGAUCAGUGUUUUGUACUAACAUUUCAUUCUUAACUGUAGGCGGACCUUCUGCACCCUGACGCUGAUGAUUACUCGGUCCGACGCUCCCUUGAGGCGUACCUGUUGUGGUUGUUCGGGUGGGUGAUGUUCACUAGCACCCACGGGCACGCUGUGGACUUCCGGCUGGUCCACUACGCACGGUCCAUCGCGGAUGCUCAGCCACAGGACGUGCCGCAGUGGAGCUGGGGUUCUGCCGUGCUAGCAGCCACGUACCGUGCCCUCUGUGAGGCGUGCACGAAGACUGACGCGGGAGCGAUCAUCGCUGGCUGUCCUAUGUUGCUUCAGCUUUGGGCAGCCGAGAGGUUUGCCAUAGGGCGACCAGUGGUGGACAGCGCACCCUACGGGGUUGGUCGCAGCGCGCAGUGGCCAGAGGACGGUCCCACGAUGGGGACUUACUGGUGUCGACGUGGGGUUAGUGCAACUUCGCUGCGUUAUAAGUUUAUCAGUCCUCUUCUUUUUUUUUCCUUCACAUAACAUGUCUAAUUCCGAUCAUGUUUAUUGCAGCGUCGUUACGCUCACGUCCAGGUGAGACGUGGUUACCCGGACUUCGUGUUCGAGUUUGACCGUCUCCAGCCGAGCGACGUCAUCUGGGAGCCGUACACAGAAGAGGCCGUCGCUGCGAGAGCACCGCUAGGACUUUCGUCCUUGUGCACACGCGACCAGGCUUACUGGCUCACCAUCCUGCCAAUGGUGUUCGACAUUUUCGUUGAGCCUCACUGGCCGCAGCGUGUGAUGAGACAGUUCGGACUUAGGCAGGUGUUUCCCGGCAACGUGCAGCCGACCGUCCCCCCUGCCGACCACUCGUGAGUUCGGAUUGUUCAUUUCUAAAUUUUUAUGAUAAUUACAUCAUCGAGCCAUACAAUUUACCUCUCUUCACAGGUUGACUCGACGGGGACAGCUAGCAGGCGCACUUUGGGCUCCACGUGUACAGCAAUACGUUGACGACUGGGUGUUAGCUACAGAGGAGGUGAUCAACGAGCUCUUCCCACACACGGAGGAGAACUACCGUGACUACCUUCGCUGGUACCUUCCUCGCACUCGUGCGCGUGUGACCUUCACUCCAGACGCCCCAGAGCCGCACGUUGCCGCUGUCACGGACGCGUAUCCCACGCACCGUGACCGAGACUACUUCGUGGCGGUACGUCCAAUUUGUAUUACUUCCAACAAUUAUGUCAUUUAUCUUUCAUAAUAUAGGACAACUACUGAAUUUUUUAUUUCCAUCUUGCAUAGGCUGAUGCGGCACGGGAUAUCAGUGCCGAUAUCACCGCAGUCCAGGUGAGGUUGAACAGAGGUUUGCACUUGACUGACGUUGAGCAGAGGUCGACCUUCGACUGGAUGCAGGAGAAGAUGCGUGCGGUCAUGCGCGUCUUCUCCUGUCGCAGCGCCGUGGACAUCGUACCUCCAGCUGGUCCGGUACACCCACGGCCUCGCGGUCCUACCGUCGGAGCAGGACCUCGUUUGUCUUCGAGCGCCCCUAGCUUCGGAGCAGUGCGACCUACAGCACCGGUUUCGCACGGUACAGUUCAGCCCAGAUAUUAGUUCAUUUUUGUUUCAGCUUUUGCACGAAUGUGUCACCAUGUUUUAACUGCACGUUUCCUCAUCGCAGGACCUCGUAUGCCUUCGAGCGCGUUCGCAGGCACGACCGGCGCUUCCGCGAGCUCCGCAGGGGCGUUCGCCACCUCUUUAGGCGCGUUCGCCAGCUCUUCCUCUCACGGAGCGUCGAUCCCUCGCCCACACGGUACUUUACUUUUUAUUAAUACUGUUAAAUACCUAUACGAAACUGAUGGUCCUUGUCCAGCAGGAUUUGCAGCCGGGAUCUUCGGUACUGGGGCCUCUUCGUCUCACGCCGGUAGGACUGGUCCUACUAGCCAGUUCUACGACGACGACUUGCACGGUGCAGACCACCAGGACGUACUAGGCUCCUCUCAGCUUGGAGGAGCUCCAGAGGCGCACACUCAGGAGCAGCCAGAGGUCACACCUGUACAGGCAGGACGGGUUGGCCGUGCCGUACCCCCGGACCGACUCACGUACUCCCAGGGGCACAUUAGGGCGCAGGGUAGGAGGGACAGGGGUAAGAGGCCUCGUCAGUAGUGUUCUACCUCUUCAGUCCUUAUGUGACCGUUUCUUUUGGCUUACAAACUUGUAAAGCAGUACUACUUUUGCUAUUACUACUGCAGUACUACUUGUGUUUGUCUCGUCUACGUAGUUCUUUUCAUUCGUAUGGUGCUUGAACAACUUAUGCUCACAACAACACACUUUCGGCGCUUCACGGUAGUGCCAUAUCCAGUAGCGCGCACAGUCCACAACAGCACACAUGAAAAGCGGCAGCUCGAGUUAUCACUAUCAACUUUCGGCGCUGCCUGUUGACAUAAAGUGAAUCACGCCCACGCGUGAUCGUCUUGUCACAUCUAAUGAAUAAUGUAUCUCAUUGAGUUCACAUAUAUUGCAGUGAAAACGACGCUAUAUAAUUGACAAUCUGAAGGCAACCUCUUCAUAUCUUCUUUCCCACUACCACACCACACACGAAAAUGGAAGCCUAUUAAUUGGUAAUACGUAAUCUAGAAUUGAGAUUAUGUACAACAUUCUUCACUACAAUUUUACAUUUUGGCAGCAAACCAAAUAUGAUCAAAUGCAAUUUUACCUUACCAAAUAUUUGGUAGUGCCAAAACUUGCUUAUAUUUUGGCAUUAACAAAAUAUUUGUACGGUAACAUUCCAAAUAUGCCCUAAAAAAUAAUAAAAUUGUAUUUUACCAAUCUUGGAGAUUUUAAUCUUGUAUAGUUUUCAAUAUAAAAAGAUUUGAUAACUAUUGAUAUUUAUAUAAAAAAAAUAUAGAGCACAGUACAAAAUCGCCCUCCCCCAGGGCGGCAAGGGGGCCGCCUGCAAAUUUCCAUGCCCCCCCUCGCCGCCCAUUUGCAGGCGGCCCCCCGCACAGUACAAAAUCGCCCUCGCGGAGGGCGGCAAGGGGGCCGCCUGCAAAUUUCGUUGACGGCCGUCGCCCGAGAGCGAACGGCCGUCUGCCACGUCAUUUUCGCCGCCCUCUGGGAGGGCGAUUUUUAAAAAUCGCCCUCCCAGAGGGCGGUAGGCGACUAUUUCCGUCAAUUUUCAAAAUGGAAAAUUAUUUUUGUAAAACUUUUAAUAAAAAAAAUUAUAAAUAAAAAAAAUUCAAUACAAUCACGCUUUCUUUAUCCAUGAAAAGAAAAUAAGGUGGUAAUAGUGGUGAGACCAUGGUAUCACCAUAUCUCCUACUCCCUAAAUCUAAAUCAACCUAAUGGUAAUUUGUUUUUUUUAAAAAAAAAAUCAUCCUCUAAGAUGUUUCCAACAUUUGCAGCCAUAAACAAGCAGGGGCGUAGGUAAUCCAAAAUCAGCUUGAACUUAAGCUCUAGGUUUGCCUCCAUAAUUAUAUUUAAAUCUUCAUAAACCACUAUGUAAUGUGUUAAAAAAAUUAAUAUCUCACCAGUUGAGUCCUACUCGAGUCAUAAGUCUCGACAAUUUCUGAUUUCGUCAGGGUGGACAAGUAUUUAUCCUACUCUCCAAGAUUUUUCCAAUACUAGCACAACCACAUACAUGGAUGUAUUCAGCUAUACAGAAACAGUGGUGCAGACCGUAGCCAACAAACAUGAGAUAUUUCCAAGUCACACAUAAAAAUAAACUACUGCUGAACACAACGGAUCGAAAAAGAAAGUAAGCUUUUAUUUUUGUUUCUCCAUCACACGACUAGUACUAAAAGAAGCAAUCUCCCAUGUAUUUUUUUUCUUUUUUACACCUGCAAUCCAUAUGACCAACCUGCGACUGCAAAAACUCGAUGUCAAGAUACUCACUCCUGCUGCUGGCAGACAUCAGCAGCAGUAGCAGAAAAGCAAGAAGAAUGCACGUGCACACGCACUAAACAAACAGAAGAAAAGGAAGAUAAUAAUCUUGCUGCGGUCAUCUCAUCUCAUCUCAUCUCAACCACACGCCCCAAAUCCAACGGCUUGGACCACAGCCACAGGAACGCCAGGAUGACAGCAUCCAACUCAUCCUUAAAAAACUAGUCUCUUUUUUACCCUCUACCAAGCAAACCAGAUGAGUCUAUGACCUUGGUUGAGGAGUUUAAAAUUUUAAAAAACAACUAAUAAGAAAGAGAAGCUGAAGAUUCUACAACUAAAAUUCUAAGAAACAACAAGUAAAAUAUAGAGAAGCUAAAAAUUUUACAACUACAGCUUCUCAGAAAUUAAGUAGCUUCUUAUAAACCGGGCGAAAAUCUGAACGACCUUCUACAACUAAAAUUCUAAGAAAUAACGGAUAAAAUAUAGAGAAACUAAAGAUUUUACAACUACAGUUUCUUAAAAACCGAGCAGCUUCUCAUAAACCGAGCGAAAAUCUAAAUUGUUUAGAGAAGCUUGACAGCUGAAGAUUAUAGAAGCACUUCAAACAGAACCAAAGCUUUUUGACAACAUCCAAGAAACGAAACGAAACCAGGCUUUGAAUCAAUCUUGACUCGAUUCUUUUUCCACAAGUUCUCUUCGAAUCGACCGAUUCGUUACAAUGUCAACACCACAAUGUCACAACUACAUGAGACGAGAUGAUAUUACAGAAAAUAUUACAGAUCAGUUUUUGAGUUUCUCCCAAGAUCCUAAUGCAGGAGAAGCAAAGCAUAUGUAUGUACAAAAAAUAAAAAAAGAAGAUAAUCGCAUCAGAUCAGAUUUAGAUUAACAGCAUCAUCGAAUCACAUCAAAAGGAAUGAUCCACUAAGCUUUUCACAUUAGGAUGGUUGGUGUUAUUUGUUUUUUUUUAUUUUUUUUAGUUUUUUUUUGGUGGCAUCCAUGUCGCCGGGGAGGAGGAUCAGGCGCGGCCGGUCUCCUCGACGGCGGCGGCGGCGGUGUUGAGGGCGGGGAUGCGGCCGCCGCAGCCCGACUGCUUCUUCCGCUUCCCGCCGCCGCCGCUGGCCAGGAGGGGCCACACCGGCCGGGGCACGAAAGGCGGCGGCGGCGCCGCAUGCUCGAGCUCGAUGGGCUCCUCCUUCGCUGCCGCUGUCGGUGACGGCGGCGGAAGCGGCUUCUUCUUUGGAGGCAGCAGCAGCGGCGGGAGCGGGGUGUUCUCCUUCUCCGGCAGCGGCGGCUGUGGCGGUGGUGAUGGUGGUGGUAGCGGCUUCUUCUUCGGCGGCAGCGGCGGCGGGUACAGCAGCGGCUUCUUCCUCGGCGGCAGCGGCAGCGGGAAUAGCAUCGCCUUCUUCCUCGGAGGCAGCGGCGGCGGGAACAGCAGCAGCUUCUUCUCCUCGGCCGUCGGCGGCGGCGGAGGAGGCGGUGGAGGCGGAGCGGGAGCGACGCAGCGGCGGGAGGGGAGGUUGAGGGCGGCGCCGGGGCCGCGGAGGCGGAGGCAGGCGUCGUCGUAGGCGGCGGCGGCGGCCUCGGCGGUGUCGAAGGUGCCGAGCCACACGCGCCGCCCGUUCUCCUUGGGGUCGCGGAUCUCCGCCGCCCACCUCCCCCACGGCCGCCGCCGCACGCCGGUGAACCUCCUCUCCACCUCCUGGCACCGCAGCCGCGUCCGCUUCACCACCACCCGCCUCGCCGCCACCACCUCCCCCUCCCCCUCCUCCUCACUGCUCGACGAAUCCGUCGCGUCCUCGUCGCGGAAGAUGAUCCGCACCACCCGCCUCCUCCCACCACCCUCCACCUCCCCCUCCAUCGCCAUCGCCGCGCUCCUCCUCCUCCUCCCCCCACCCAUACCCCCAACCACCUCGCCUCACCCACCAAGAAAACCACCCCCGCUCACCGCAUCCGCGCAUCCAUGGCGGCUCCCACCGCUAGGGUUAGGGUUUCCGAUCCCUUCUCCCUCUCACGAAUUGCUCGGUGGCGUGGAGAAAUUGGGAAGCAAAGCGGGAAGAGAAGGAGAGGAGAAGGGGAAAUUGGGGAAGAAGAAGACGAAGAGGCAGCUAUAUUAUAAAAGCGGAAUAGUAGAAUGGGUAGUUUGGUAAUUACGCGGCCGGGGGCACCCGCGAGGAAUCUCGU